This 477-nucleotide ribosomal RNA is filed under the name uncultured organism. RNAcentral's name for it is "partial 16S ribosomal RNA". It matches the Rfam family "Bacterial small subunit ribosomal RNA", at positions 333 to 801 of the family's 1533-position model. The record is from RNAcentral.
ACACUCCUGCGGGAGGCAGCAGUGGGGAAUUUUGGACAAUGGGCGAAAGCCUGAUCCAGCAAUGCCGCGUGAGUGAAGAAGGCCUUCGGGUUGUAAAGCUCUUUUGUCAGGGAAGAAACGGUGAGAGCUAAUAUCUCUUGCUAAUGACGGUACCUGAAGAAUAAGCACCGGCUAACUACGUGCCAGCAGCCGCGGUAAUACGUAGGGUGCAAGCGUUAAUCGGAAUUACUGGGCGUAAAGCGUGCGCAGGCGGUUUUGUAAGUCUGAUGUGAAAUCCCCGGGCUCAACCUGGGAAUUGCAUUGGAGACUGCAAGGCUAGAAUCUGGCAGAGGGGGGUAGAAUUCCACGUGUAGCAGUGAAAUGCGUAGAUAUGUGGAGGAACACCGAUGGCGAAGGCAGCCCCCUGGGUCAAGAUUGACGCUCAUGCACGAAAGCGUGGGGAGCAAACAGGAUUAGAAACCCCUGUAGUCCCAUGAU